AAUCCAUAGGUUAAUGAGGCGAACCGGGGGAACUGAAACAUCUAAGUACCCCGAGGAAAAGAAAUCAACCGAGAUUCCCCCAGUAGCGGCGAGCGAACGGGGAGGAGCCCAGAGCCUGAAUCAGCAUGUGUGUUAGUGGAAGCGUCUGGAAAGGCGCGCGAUACAGGGUGACAGCCCCGUACACAAAAGCGCAUGUGCUGUGAGCUCGAUGAGUAGGGCGGGACACGUGGUAUCCUGUCUGAAUAUGGGGGGACCAUCCUCCAAGGCUAAAUACUCCUGACUGACCGAUAGUGAACCAGUACCGUGAGGGAAAGGCGAAAAGAACCCCGGCGAGGGGAGUGAAAAAGAACCUGAAACCGUGUACGUACAAGCAGUGGGAGCACAGGUUUACCUGUGUGACUGCGUACCUUUUGUAUAAUGGGUCAGCGACUUAUAUUCUGUAGCAAGGUUAACCGAAUAGGGGAGCCGGAGGGAAACCGAGUCUUAAUUGGGCGUUAAGUUGCAGGGUAUAGACCCGAAACCCGGUGAUCUAGCCAUGGGCAGGUUGAAGGUUGGGUAACACUAACUGGAGGACCGAACCGACUAAUGUUGAAAAAUUAGCGGAUGACCUGUGGCUGGGGGUGAAAGGCCAAUCAAACCGGGAGAUAGCUGGUUCUCCCCGAAAGCUAUUUAGGUAGCGCCUCGUGAAUUCAUCUCCGGGGGUAGAGCACUGUUUCGGCUAGGGGGCCAUCCCGGCUUACCAACCCGAUGCAAACUGCGAAUACCGGAGAAUGUUAUCACGGGAGACACACGGCGGGUGCUAACGUCCGUCGUGAAGAGGGAAACAACCCAGACCGCCAGCUAAGGUCCCAAAGUCAUGGUUAAGUGGGAAACGAUGUGGGAAGGCCCAGACAGCCAGGAUGUUGGCUUAGAAGCAGCCAUCAUUUAAAGAAAGCGUAAUAGCUCACUGGUCGAGUCGGCCUGCGCGGAAGAUGUAACGGGGCUAAACCAUGCACCGAAGCUGCGGCAGCGACACUCAGGUGUUGUUGGGUAGGGGAGCGUUCUGUAAGCCUGCGAAGGUGGCCUGUGAGGGUUGCUGGAGGUAUCAGAAGUGCGAAUGCUGACAUAAGUAACGAUAAAGCGGGUGAAAAGCCCGCUCGCCGGAAGACCAAGGGUUCCUGUCCAACGUUAAUCGGGGCAGGGUGAGUCGACCCCUAAGGCGAGGCCGAAAGGCGUAGUCGAUGGGAAACGGGUUAAUAUUCCCGUACUUGGUGUUACUGCGAAGGGGGGACGGAGAAGGCUAUGUUGGCCGGGCGACGGUUGUCCCGGUUUAAGCGUGUAGGUGUGUGUUCCAGGUAAAUCCGGUU
RNAcentral lists this ribosomal RNA (1346 nucleotides) under Salmonella enterica subsp. enterica serovar Infantis. RNAcentral describes it as "partial 23S ribosomal RNA". It matches the Rfam family "Bacterial large subunit ribosomal RNA", at positions 161 to 1547 of the family's 2925-position model. The record is from RNAcentral. Lineage: Bacteria; Pseudomonadati; Pseudomonadota; Gammaproteobacteria; Enterobacterales; Enterobacteriaceae.